Molecule: ribosomal RNA, 468 nt
Filed under: uncultured bacterium
Lineage: Bacteria
Description: partial 16S ribosomal RNA
Rfam family: Bacterial small subunit ribosomal RNA
Source: RNAcentral
GACGAACGCUGGCGGCGUGCUUAACACAUGCAAGUCGAACGGAAAGGCCCUGCUUUUGUGGGGUGCUCGAGUGGCGAACGGGUGAGUAACACGUGAGUAACCUGCCCUUGACCUUGGGAUAACUUCAGGAAACUGGGGCUAAUACCGGAUAGGAGCUCCUGCUGCAUGGUGGGGGUUGGAAAGUUUCGGCGGUUGGGGAUGGACUCGCGGCUUAUCAGCUUGUUGGUGGGGUAGUGGCUUACCAAGGCUUUGACGGGUAGCCGGCCUGAGAGGGUGACCGGCCACAUUGGGACUGAGAUACGGCCCAGACUCCUACAGGAGGCAGCAGUGGGGAAUAUUGCACAAUGGGCGGAAGCCUGAUGCAGCAACGCCGCGUGCGGGAUGACGGCCUUCGGGUUGUAAACCGCUUUCGCCUGUGACGAAGCGUGAGUGACGGUAAUGGGUAAAGAAGCACCGGCUAACUACGUG